Molecule: microRNA precursor, 89 nt
Filed under: Nematostella vectensis (starlet sea anemone)
Lineage: Eukaryota; Metazoa; Cnidaria; Anthozoa; Actiniaria; Edwardsiidae
Description: microRNA nve-mir-2030 precursor
Source: miRBase by way of RNAcentral
ACACCCACAGUAUGGCCGUAUAGCAUAACAUUGUAAGAGAUUGUAAGAACCUCUUUACAUUGUUGUGCUGUACGGAUAUGCUGAAUAGU